GAUGAACGCCGGCGGUGUGCCUAAUACAUGCAAGUCGUACGCACUGGCCCAAGUGAUUGAUGGUGCUUGCACCUGAUUGACGAUGGAUCACCAGUGAGUGGCGGACGGGUGAGUAACACGUAGGUAACCUGCCCCGGAGCGGGGGAUAACAUUUGGAAACAGAUGGUAAUACCGCAUAACAACAAAAGCCACAUGGCUUUUGUUUGAAAGAUGGCUUUGGCUAUCACUCUGGGAUGGACCUGCGGUGCAUUAGCUAGUUGGUAAGGUAACGGCUUACCAAGGCGAUGAUGCAUAGCCGAGUUGAGAGACUGAUCGGCCACAAUGGAACUGAGACACGGUCCAUACUCCUACGGGAGGCAGCAGUAGGGAAUUUUCCACAAUGGGCGCAAGCCUGAUGGAGCAACACCGCGUGAGUGAAGAAGGGUUUCGGCUCGUAAAGCUCUGUUGUUGGAGAAGAACGUGCGUGAGAGUAACUGUUCA
RNAcentral lists this ribosomal RNA (480 nucleotides) under uncultured bacterium. Its description in RNAcentral is "SSU rRNA". It matches the Rfam family "Bacterial small subunit ribosomal RNA", at positions 28 to 470 of the family's 1533-position model. The record is from RNAcentral.